RNAcentral lists this RNase MRP RNA (260 nucleotides) under Eucalyptus grandis. RNAcentral's name for it is "RNase MRP". It matches the Rfam family "RNase MRP". From Rfam's summary of the family: RNase MRP is an enzymatically active ribonucleoprotein with two distinct roles in eukaryotes. The record is from Rfam by way of RNAcentral. Lineage: Eukaryota; Viridiplantae; Streptophyta; Magnoliopsida; Myrtales; Myrtaceae.
GCGGCAUUGAGUGUAGUGAAUGGGCCAUGGCCUAGCUUUGCGCUAGGAUUUGGGCUCAGGAAAGUCCCCGGGCCGUGAUCUGCAGAGAUGUAGUCUCAAAAACGGGAAGCGACGUUCGAGAGCCGGAGUCCUAGGCUGAGACGCGUGCGGAGCCUCCGUGGACUCUGGCCCGAAGUUGCAUUGGCCGACCGUCACAGUCAUUCACUAGGCCCAUGCAUCAUCGUAUGGGCAAACAGAACGGGGCUUACAUUUCAGUGGCU